CAUUAGCUAGUUGGUGAGGUAACGGCUCACCAAGGCCACGAUGCAUAGCCGACCUGAGAGGGUGAUCGGCCACAUUGGGACUGAGACACGGCCCAAACUCCUACGGGAGGCAGCAGUAGGGAAUCUUCGGCAAUGGACGAAAGUCUGACCGAGCAACGCCGCGUGAGUGAAGAAGGUUUUCGGAUCGUAAAACUCUGUUGUUAGAGAAGAACAAGGAUGAGAGUAACUGUUCAUCCCUUGACGGUAUCUAACCAGAAAGCCACGGCUAACUACGUGCCAGCAGCCGCGGUAAUACGUAGGUGGCAAGCGUUGUCCGGAUUUAUUGGGCGUAAAGCGAGCGCAGGCGGUUUCUUAAGUCUGAUGUGAAAGCCCCCGGCUCAACCGGGGAGGGUCAUUGGAAACUGGGAGACUUGAGUGCAGAAGAGGAGAGUGGAAUUCCAUGUGUAGCGGUGAAAUGCGUAGAUAUAUGGAGGAACACCAGUGGCGAAGGCGGCUCUCUGGUCUGUAACUGACGCUGAGGCUCGAAAGCGUGGGGAGCAAACAGGAUUAGAUACCCUGGUAGUCCACGCCGUAAACGAUGAGUGCUAAGUGUUGGAGGGUUUCCGCCCUUCAGUGCUGCAGCUAACGCAUUAAGCACUCCGCCUGGGGAGUACGACCGCAAGGUUGAAACUCAAAGGAAUUGACGGGGGCCCGCACAAGCGGUGGAGCAUGUGGUUUAAUUCGAAGCAACGCGAAGAACCUUACCAGGUCUUGACAUCCUUUGACCACUCUAGAGAUAGAGCUUCCCCUUCGGGGGCAAAGUGACAGGUGGUGCAUGGUUGUCGUCAGCUCGUGUCGUGAGAUGUUGGGUUAAGUCCCGCAACGAGCGCAACCCUUAUUGUUAGUUGCCAUCAUUCAGUUGGGCACUCUAGCAAGACUGCCGGUGACAAACCGGAGGAAGGUGGGGAUGACGUCAAAUCAUCAUGCCCCUUAUGACCUGGGCUACACACGUGCUACAAUGGGAAGUACAACGAGUUGCGAAGUCGCGAGGCUAAGCUAAUCUCUUAAAGCUUCUCUCAGUUCGGAUUGCAGGCUGCAACUCGCCUGCAUGAAGCCGGAAUCGCUAGUAAUCGCGGAUCAGCACGCCGCGGUGAAUACGUUCCCGGGCCUUGUACACACCGCCCGUCACACCACGAGAGUUUGUAACACCCGAAGUCGGUGAGGUAACCUUUUGGAGCCAGACGCCUAAGGUGGGAUAGA
This 1239-nucleotide ribosomal RNA is filed under the name Enterococcus faecium. Its description in RNAcentral is "bacterial SSU rRNA". It matches the Rfam family "Bacterial small subunit ribosomal RNA", at positions 239 to 1471 of the family's 1533-position model. Lineage: Bacteria; Bacillati; Bacillota; Bacilli; Lactobacillales; Enterococcaceae. The record is from RNAcentral.